AAGUCGUAACAAGGUCUCCGUUGGUGAACCAGCGGAGGGAUCAUUACUGAGUUAAAAAAACUCCCAACCCACUGUGAACAUACCUAUUUGUUGCUUCGGCGGUAGCGCCCCGGCUGAGCCCGGAGCAAGGCGCCCGCCGAGGGACCCCCAAACCAGUUUUCUUAUAGCGGGAUAUUCUGAGUAAAACAUAAAUCAUCAAAACUUUUAACAACGGAUCUCUUGGCUCUG
This 228-nucleotide unclassified non-coding RNA is filed under the name air metagenome. RNAcentral describes it as "partial contains small subunit ribosomal RNA, internal transcribed spacer 1, and 5.8S ribosomal RNA". The stretch from base 1 to 46 matches the Rfam family "Eukaryotic small subunit ribosomal RNA", at positions 1786 to 1831 of the family's 1831-position model. The record is from RNAcentral.